GUAGGGAAUAUUAGUAAUGGGCGAAAGCCUGAACUAGCAACGCCGCGUGUGCGAAGAAGGCCUUCGGGUUGUAAAGCACUUUUUGAGAGGAUGAGGAAGGACGGUACUCUCAGAAUAAGUCUCGGCUAACUACGUGCCAGCAGCCGCGGUAACACGUAGGAGGCGAACGUUAUCCGGAUUUACUGGGCGUAAAGCGCGUGUAGGUGGUUUGGUAAGUAGGGCGUGAAAGCUCCUGGCUCAACUGGGAGAGGCCGUUCUAAACUGCCGAACUAGAGGAUGGUAGAGGGAGGUGGAAUUCCGGGUGUAGCGGUGGAAUGCGCAGAUAUCCGGAGGAACACCAGUGGCGAAAGCGGCCUCCUGGACCACUCCUGACACUCAGACGCGAAAGCUAGGGUAGCAAACGGGAUUAGAAACCCGGGUAGUCC
RNAcentral lists this ribosomal RNA (425 nucleotides) under uncultured bacterium. RNAcentral's name for it is "partial 16S ribosomal RNA". It matches the Rfam family "Bacterial small subunit ribosomal RNA", at positions 354 to 796 of the family's 1533-position model. The record is from RNAcentral.